UGCCCCAUGGCUGAGUUGGUUACAGCGUCCGACUGUUAUGACUUCGUCACGUACAUCGGAAGGUCGUGAGUUCGAGCCUCACUGGGGCAG
Molecule: non-coding RNA, 90 nt
Organism: Cristinia sonorae
Lineage: Eukaryota; Fungi; Basidiomycota; Agaricomycetes; Agaricales; Stephanosporaceae
Source: the annotation of a GenBank genome assembly